RNAcentral lists this non-coding RNA (45 nucleotides) under Schistosoma margrebowiei. Lineage: Eukaryota; Metazoa; Platyhelminthes; Trematoda; Strigeidida; Schistosomatidae. The record is from RNAcentral.
AUUCGGCUGACGAGUCUCAAAUAGGACGAAACGCACGUCAUGGAU